UUCUCUCCCUUUCUUCCUCCCUUUUUCUCCUCUUUUCAUCCUUCCUUUCUUUUUUCAGAGAGGGAAAACAAUUUUCAUUGUUAAAAGCAUUAGGUCAAGACAAACCAGCAUCACCAUAAGCAGCCAUUUCCUCGAUGGAGACUUUGCCCAAGGGUUACAGCUGAGACAGUCACGUGGCUGCCCGGGCUGUCUGCUCCCCACUAUUGCUAUUUCCCUCUUGUCUCCUUCCUGUCAUAAGCCAUUAGAUAGCCUCAGAGAUUUCAGAAACCCCGUUUUAGUCUAUAUCUUCUGCCCUCGUACAAAAACAAGAUGAUUCUUAUCUUGGGCUUCAGCCUUUUAUUUUUCUGUAAAGAUACAGUGUGUAACACAUUGACCCAGAGACCCCUGGACCAGAUGGUGGAAAGUGGCAGCGAGACAACGUUGUUCUGCACCUAUAGUACUGAAAUCUCAGAUCCAGAUUUGUACUGGUACCGAAAAAUGGCAGAUCAGUCCUUGCAGUUCAUCCUUUACAGAGAUAAUACCAGAUCUCUUGAUGCAGAUUUUGUUCAAGGUCGAUUUUUUGUGAAGCAUAGUCAGACCCAUAAAACUUUCCACUUGGUCAUCUCCCCUGUGAGGAUGGAAGACCAGGCGACUUACUACUGUGCUUUAAGUUCCCACAGUGAUACAGGUGCUUGGGGAGUCUGCACACAAACCCCUGGGCACAGCUCGGCAGAGCCACCUCCAGGGUGAUGUUAUGUCCUGGGCCUGGUUUCUUUCUCUCAGUCAUCUGGGGGGCUAGCCUGGCCUUUAGAAGUGCCCAAUGUGACAACUGAUUAAUCAAAAGCCCACUUAUAUCCAGGGAACACUCUGGCUUCCAAAGAGCAGAGUAUCUCCCACUUCUGACCCAGUGGGCCCUCACCCCCUGAGCACCUUGUGAUUGGCAAUGGACAGGUGCAGGGCUGAGUGUGCACUGUCUUUGUGUUCUGACAUUGUGCUGUGUUAGCCACGAGGGUGUCAGAACGGUGCAGGGGAAUGGUGUGGGGCCAGUCAUAAGAGUGGCCAUUGGCAGGGUUUUUAUUUUAAUCUCCAUCAUCAUUUAUUCAUUAUUGUGAGUUGGCCUGUUUUCAUCUUUCAAACCAAGUUGGACACAGAGUUAGGAAAUUAAAAAAAUUAAAAUUAAAAGUUUUUCUAAUUUACCUUUUGUCUACGUCUUAGUAUGUUUAGCUACCUUACUACCUCUGGGUGUCCUCUGAUGCUUGUGCUUUUCUUACUUUAC
Molecule: non-coding RNA, 1255 nt
Organism: Cavia porcellus (domestic guinea pig)
Lineage: Eukaryota; Metazoa; Chordata; Mammalia; Rodentia; Caviidae
Source: the annotation of a RefSeq genome assembly